UUUGGGAAUUUUUCAAAAAAUUGACGGGGGCCCGCACAAGCGGUGGAGCAUGUGGUUUAAUUCGAAGCAACGCGAAGAACCUUACCAGGUCUUGACAUCCUCUGAAAACCCUAGAGAUAGGGCUUCUCCUUCGGGAGCAGAGUGACAGGUGGUGCAUGGUUGUCGUCAGCUCGUGUCGUGAGAUGUUGGGUUAAGUCCCGCAACGAGCGCAACCCUUGAUCUUAGUUGCCAUCAUUAAGUUGGGCACUCUAAGGUGACUGCCGGUGACAAACCGGAGGAAGGUGGGGAUGACGUCAAAUCAUCAUGCCCCUUAUGACCUGGGCUACACACGUGCUACAAUGGACGGUACAAAGAGCUGCAAGACCGCGAGGUGGAGCUAAUCUCAUAAAACCGUUCUCAGUUCGGAUUGUAGGCUGCAACUCGCCUACAUGAAGCUGGAAUCGCUAGUAAUCGCGGAUCAGCAGCCGC
This 468-nucleotide ribosomal RNA is filed under the name Bacillus cereus. Its description in RNAcentral is "bacterial SSU rRNA". It matches the Rfam family "Bacterial small subunit ribosomal RNA", at positions 904 to 1360 of the family's 1533-position model. Lineage: Bacteria; Bacillati; Bacillota; Bacilli; Caryophanales; Bacillaceae. The record is from RNAcentral.